CUUCUGACCACCCGGCUUGCUGUCUUCCCACUCAAGCUCCUCAUGCAGCUGCUGUCUACAGACCCCCUGGACUGCCUGGGGAAGUGAGUCGGAGCUCCUGCAGCAGAGGGGUGGAACAGCUACACGAAGAUCCGAAGGUGGCCAAAAAUAACAGCGCUUUCCAGAUGAGGAUCCAAAUCCUGUCUUCACUGGCUUCAAGAAUCCUGUCUUCACUGGCUUCAAAACUGGGAUGAAGGAGGCUCCUUAGUGGAGAGCAAAGCAAAGAGAAACUCAAAUUGGAUCCAUAUUAAAGAAGAGAAGGAUGGAUUUGUUUAGACAACACAAACCUAGGAAGGGUUUGAGAGGUGAAACAAACUGGGUUAUGGAUGAACGGGGGCAAUUGGAAUGUAGAAUUGAAGCAGUAAUUAACAUCUUGGUUUCAUCUGGGUGUUUGGCAUCAUGUUCAGAAAUGUGAAAAAUAAAAUUCAGCACCGUUAUUACUGAAUUAGAUAAAAUGAUUGUAUUUAAUUAAUCCGUAAAUAUUAACUAAUUAUUCUGUUUACCAUAACAUGUAAUGAAUAUAAUUCUCCACCAGGCAAAUAAAGAAAGAAAGAUGUAAUUAGGUGAUUUAAGCAUAAAACUUGGCUGAAAGCAUAUUUAAAUCUUGGUCAUAGUUUACUGGCAUUAAUUUCCUUGGGCAAAAAUCUUUGUAGGUCCUCAGACAACCAUUUUCUCUUCUGAGGAAUAGAUUUCCCUCGUUCUUCUGAGGGUCUGUUCAUUUACAAUGUGUUUUGACAGUAGUAAAAUUUAGUAAACAUUCAGUAACAUAUGAGAUACAUCUAGUAAUAGAUGUUUUCUUUGCCAAGUGAAUUAUCUGGGGCUGAUAAAAAUCAGUGUAAAACCCACUCUCAGAGCAGCCUUCUGACAUGCCUGAGGCUGAACCCCGAAGAGGAAUCUACUGAAACUGGACUUGAAAGCCUUUGUCACAAUGAAAAGCACCUUCUGUGACUGACAUUCUUUUGUGAUCUCCUCCAAAAAAGUUAUCAUAAUUAUUGAACAUUUCCUCUGUAGCUUAUUCUCAAUCCAAUCAGUUAUAAUGAAAAUAGUCUGCUUGCUUUUUAUAUUCUUAAGUUUUCAAAAUGAUUAGUGCUUCCUUGAGAUAUCCCAUUAAUUGGACACACAACCCAGAUGAAAAGGCUGAAACCCAAGAGUAUAUAAAAAAACAUAAGGUUGUUGCAAUUUAAGUGCCUUCAAAAGAUCUAAUUUGAUUUCUAAAAGCAAUUUUGCAGAUGUGAAAAUUAAAGGCACGCAGAAACAAGAUAUGAUUUAAUGAACGUGUAGGUUAAGAAACAUUUAGAGGUUUCAGUAGCUUUACUCUGACGUUUUUGUUUGUUUGUUUAGCUGUUAUGUUGGAAAGAUUGAGUCCACAACACAAUAAAAAUUACUGAAUUUUAUGGGUCGCUAUUUCCUUGAUCAAAUUGUCCCAUUCUUCCCAACAUGUUUCUGAAGCAACUUUGUAUUUCUGUCUGCAGAUUUUCAGGUCCAGGACCCGUCAAUCAAAUUUCAGAUUCUAAUAAAGUCCAAGGGUCUCUCCACUUAGGUUUGUCUUAGCUGUUUCAUCAAUGAGCCCCUCCCCCUUUCCCAGCAAAUUGCACACUUAUUCCCACUUAAAAAAAAAAAAGAGAGAGAGAGAGAGACAGAAAAAUAACCCUUCCCACUGGUUCUAAUGACAUCUUCAGUCAUUAAUGAGUUAAUAAAAAUCUCGAAGUCAUCUGGGCUAGAUAAGAAAGAAGAAAGAAAUGUAUUGUACUGUAAUGACAGGCUCUCGAGCUGCCCUCUGAGAUGUCAUGGGUCAGUCAUGUUAAGAAUGUGUGCGUCCAAUCAUCUGCUGAUUUUUAUCAGCAAGCUCUCCAGCAGGAGCUGACAAGGGCCAGUUUGGGAGUCACAAUGAAUAAACAAUGACUUUUUGGAUUGUUGGGGGCUGUGUAAUAGAGUGAGGGGUUUAUAUAUACUAAAACAUGAUGACAUUAGCAAUCAAUAUACCAAUUACUGGACAAGUUAUUGGAGGAGGCAUUCACGUGUCUUCAGCCUGCUUGCACUUUGAAGGGGCCUCUAGCAGGGAGAGUCCGUGUGCCCAGAGGCCGGCAAAGGUUCAAGACGUCAGGCCCAGAUCUAAAAGGCAAGCCCCUCUUCUCAGGCUGAAGUAGUCCAGAGCUGGAUGAUUUGAAUCCCCUGGGGAGUUUAUUAAAAAUACAGAUUCCUGACUUUCCUUCUUAGAGAGUCCAUCUCAGGAGUCUGGGGCUAAGGGUGAGACUUAGUGUUUUUAACAAAGUUUCCAGGUAAUCCUGAUCGGGAGCAUUAGGGAACUGCUGUACAGUUGUAAUUCCCAAAGUGCUGUCCCCCAGCCAGAGCAGCUGCAUCCCUAUCACCUGGGAGCCUGUUGCAAAUGCACAUUCUUGGGCCCCUCCCUAAACCCACUGAAACUGAAACUCACUAGGGGUGGGGCCUAGAGAUCUGUGUUUUAACACAGCCCUCAGGUGAUUCUGAUGCACUGUACAGUUUGAGAACCAAGGCUGUAGUACAAAGAUCCUUGCCAAGGUGUUGCAACACAGCUCUGUCACCUGUAGCCUCUGAGGCUCCUCAUGGGUAAUUUGUUACUUGUACUAGUUAGAGUGCUGGAGUUUGCAAAUGAUUUACUUAAAAAAAUUAAAUUAGAGUAGAUCCAAGAUUAUCUUCACAGUCAUGCCACUCUCAUUCACUUGCAUACUGCUAGGCUUUCUUGAAUGAUCUUGAUGUAUGAGUGACUUUGGUUAUAGAAUAGGAAGAAUAAACAUAGCUUUUGUCUAUUAUUUGAAGUGGAAAGAGAGAGUGGAUUUGUACAUAAUCUUAAAAGAAAAGGAGUCCAUAAGAAAAAUCAAUGUACGUGAAGCAUUUAUUUGAUGUAUGACAAAUAUUUAUGUAGGUAACCAGUGCCACUUGUGAAACCCAUGGGCAAUUGGUGAGGUCUACUGUUUUCGUCUUUGGUAGCCACAGAACAUGCAACGUGUCUUAAUUAGAAGAAGAGAAUAUGCACGGCCCAAGGUCAGCAUAUCCUCAGAAGAGGAAUGGCGAAGACCUUCUUGCAGUUGGGUUGAGACUUCCUUUAUUCAGCCAAGGGUCCUCCUAAAGGGGCUUGCUCAGCUUUCAAAAGAGGUGGACUCGUUUGUCAGCCAUGCAGUAGAUUUAAAUCAGUGUUCUCCAGAAGACGUUUGAAAUAGUAAUUUCAUGUCUCAAAACAUUGAUUUAAAAAAAUGUCCGGGGUCAAGUGAGAAACAGUAGAUUAACCUGAGUUAAAUAUGAUUGUUUGCAGCAGGGCCCCCAAAGCCUCCAGCACAUUACUAUGCACUGUGAAUCCCCAGGACAUUUGAUCUUCAAUAGAUCUGAUUACCCAAACCGUUUUAUAAAGGAUAAGCUUGUAGCAUUGGUGUUCAAGGAAUAGACUUUCAGGAGACACAGAUUCCUAUUUUCUAAGAUGGCAACAACCUGUUGGUAGAAGCUAGUUCUUUUAUAUAUUGUAUAGUAAGGAACCUCUUCCUUUAUUCUAAUGUAUCAAACCCUCUGUGUCUGGCGUCAGGAUUCAUUAUGUGGUGGCUUGACGCCAGCAAAAAGGUUCAUGUAACACUCACCAAAGAGUUAAAUAAGUUGUCCAGUUGUUGA
RNAcentral lists this long non-coding RNA (3675 nucleotides) under Homo sapiens (human). RNAcentral describes it as "non-protein coding NR2F2-AS1:48". The record is from RNAcentral. Lineage: Eukaryota; Metazoa; Chordata; Mammalia; Primates; Hominidae.